Molecule: ribosomal RNA, 205 nt
Filed under: uncultured bacterium
Lineage: Bacteria
Description: partial 16S ribosomal RNA
Rfam family: Bacterial small subunit ribosomal RNA
Source: RNAcentral
GACUGCAGGCUGCAACUCGCCUGCACGAAGUCGGAAUUGCUAGUAAUCGUAGGUCAGCAUACUACGGUGAAUACGUUCCCGGGCCUUGUACACACCGCCCGUCACACCAUGGGAGUCGGAAAUGCCCGAAGCCAGUGACCCAACUGCAAAGAGGGAGCUGUCGAAGGCAGGUCUGAUAACUGGGGUGAAGUCGUAACAAGGUAUC